UGCGGAAUGGUUUAAUGGUAGCAAUACAGUCUCUGAAUCUGUCUGUUGGGGUUCGAGUCCCUGUUCCGCAGCCA
Molecule: transfer RNA, 74 nt
Filed under: Clostridia bacterium
Lineage: Bacteria; Bacillati; Bacillota; Clostridia
Description: tRNA-Gln
Rfam family: tRNA
About the family: Transfer RNA (tRNA) molecules are approximately 80 nucleotides in length. Their secondary structure includes four short double-helical elements and three loops (D, anti-codon, and T loops).
Source: RNAcentral